This 354-nucleotide long non-coding RNA is filed under the name Rosa chinensis. RNAcentral describes it as "sRNA RchiOBHm_Chr6g0252031". The record is from RNAcentral. Lineage: Eukaryota; Viridiplantae; Streptophyta; Magnoliopsida; Rosales; Rosaceae.
GAGAGAGAGAGAACAGAUCUAGAUCGGGUUAAUCAAGGACACGAAUUUGAAAAUCUCACUCAAAUAUGAAAUUUGAUUUGUAAGCCAGGGAGAGAAGAGAUCUAGAUCGAUAUUGAUAUUCGGAUCGAGAUUGAGAUCAAUCAAGGCGAUGAAUCUAAAGUUUUCAUUCAUACAUGAACUUUGAAUUAUAGAUCUAACACUUUGAGGGUAUUUUAAUUUGUAUCCAAUGGCUGAGAUCAAGGCUGCUAUUGAGGUUUCCAACACAUGGAUGAGGUUGUUCAAUAUGGUCUUUGGCAUCGACCUAGUGGGACAACUGAAUUUUUAAAUUUCAUUAUUUUGAGUCAAUUUGUGAGG